This 255-nucleotide unclassified non-coding RNA is filed under the name uncultured fungus. Its description in RNAcentral is "partial contains 5.8S ribosomal RNA, internal transcribed spacer 2, and large subunit ribosomal RNA". Lineage: Eukaryota; Fungi. The record is from RNAcentral.
AACGCACAUUGCGCCUUCUGGUAUUCCGGGAGGCAUGCCUGUUCGAGCGUCAUUAAAAACCACUCAAGCACCUUUGCUUGGUAUUGGGAGAGGAGCGCGUCUGACGUUCUCCCUCCCGAAAUGCAAUGGCGGAGAGCCCCAUCGUGCCCCGGCGUAGUAAGUAUUCUUUCGCUUGGACCGUGAGGUGAUCCAGCCGCAAACCCCCAAUUAUUCUAGGUUGACCUCGGAUCAGGUAGGGAUACCCGCUGAACUUAA